This 293-nucleotide ribosomal RNA is filed under the name uncultured bacterium. RNAcentral describes it as "partial 16S ribosomal RNA". It matches the Rfam family "Archaeal small subunit ribosomal RNA", at positions 455 to 747 of the family's 1478-position model. The record is from RNAcentral.
GUGCCAGCCGCCGCGGUAAUACCGGCAGCCCGAGUGAUGGCCGAUCUUAUUGGGCCUAAAGCGUCCGUAGCUGGGUCUGAAAGUCCAUCGGGAAAUCCACUCGCUCAACGAGUGGCCGUCCGGUGGAAACUCCACACCUUGGGACCGGAAGGCUCGAAGGGUACGGCCGGGGUAGGAGUGAAAUCCUGUAAUCCUGGACGGACCGCCGGUGGCGAAAGCACUUCGAGAAGACGGAUCCGACAGUGAGGGACGAAAGCCAGGGUCUCGAACCGGAUUAGAUACCCGGGUAGUCC